CGUGUAUUUGACGAUCUGAUCGCACACUCCGUCUGCACCAGAGUGUCAGUUUGUCAAAUAUACAAA
This 66-nucleotide microRNA precursor is filed under the name Anolis carolinensis (green anole). RNAcentral's name for it is "Aca-Mir-223_pre stem-loop". The record is from RNAcentral. Lineage: Eukaryota; Metazoa; Chordata; Lepidosauria; Squamata; Anolidae.